This is a long non-coding RNA of Erigeron canadensis, 472 nucleotides long. RefSeq lists it as uncharacterized. Lineage: Eukaryota; Viridiplantae; Streptophyta; Magnoliopsida; Asterales; Asteraceae. The record is from RefSeq and is a predicted model, not a curated record. The transcript has 3 exons.
UGAGUCUUUGACAUAUAAAAUCCGUAGACAUACAAAAAAAUUGGGCCAAUUAUUAAAUAUCAACGAGUACAUUUGAGCCCAAAUACACCUAAACCCCUUUCCGGUCACGGUGGCGGAAAUGAUAUCUGUACGGCCGACAACUUGAACCUCGCUUUCAUUAUUUCCUUUCUACAAACAAAGCAGCUCUUUGUAAAUGAAUCUCUUGGCAAGAAGCCACCAAGUAUACAAGAGAAUUCAGACUGCUUCCAUAACGGAUAGUCAGACUUGACUUUUUCAUCGUGGGUCAGUUUGCGAAUCGUCGUUGGCUGUACAUAAAGUUUGGAGUAUAGUUGAUGUUCUCAGCUGAGCUGUAGUUGAGAAGAAUUGCUAAGACAUCACUUGGAAGAUACUGAAACCGUGUCUACAAAGAAUGUAGGAGUCAUUAUUCUAGUGGUUAGAAAGGAAGAAGAAGCAUCUUAUGGUAUAUUUUGUU